RNAcentral lists this ribosomal RNA (256 nucleotides) under uncultured bacterium. Its description in RNAcentral is "partial 16S ribosomal RNA". It matches the Rfam family "Bacterial small subunit ribosomal RNA", at positions 524 to 776 of the family's 1533-position model. The record is from RNAcentral.
GACGAACCGUGCGAACGUUUAUUCGGAAUCACUGGGCUUAAAGCGCGUGUAGGCGGACGGGAACGUCGGAACCUGAAAGCCCCCGGCUCAACCGGGGAAGCGGGGCCGAAACGACCCGUCUGGAGGGACGUAGGGGGAUCUGGGAACUUCCGGUGGAGCGGUGAAAUGCGUUGAGAUCGGAAGGAACGCCCGUGGCGAAAGCGACCACCUGGACUGAUACUGACACUGAGGUGCGAAAGCGUGGGGAGCAAACAGG